ACCUCAAAUAACCUCAAGUUUGCCUAUGA
RNAcentral lists this small RNA (29 nucleotides) under Bombyx mori (domestic silkworm). RNAcentral describes it as "ovarian small RNA-11338". The record is from RNAcentral. Lineage: Eukaryota; Metazoa; Arthropoda; Insecta; Lepidoptera; Bombycidae.